AGAGAUUUUGGAGAGACAACACAAGGAGCACAUGGGUGUUUUAAAUGGAAUUCACGAUACACUGAGAGCUCUGCUGGAAACCAUGACGGAAGCGACUGUUGCAUAAGGAGUAGGCACAGCAAAAUAUUCAUAUUUUCUAAAUAUUAUAUUCAUUGGUUGGGGCCAAGGCUUUGCGUAUGUACACCAAUAGCAGUAGCUGCUUCAAACGGGGUUACAUAGACGCGCUCCAAUUGUUGUUGCAUUGAAAUCUAUUCCCGGAAGGACAGUAAUGUUCACUACAAUCGACUGUUAUUAUAAUAUAUAUUAUAAAAAAUAAAGAGUUAAACAUAA
Bactrocera neohumeralis is the source of this 330-nucleotide long non-coding RNA. RefSeq lists it as uncharacterized. The record is from RefSeq and is a predicted model, not a curated record. The transcript has 2 exons. Lineage: Eukaryota; Metazoa; Arthropoda; Insecta; Diptera; Tephritidae.